UAUUUCUUUUAUGACCUUCUCGCAGUAAUUCAAGUCAAAUUAUAAAAAUAAAUGUUUGUUUACCUCCGCUAGGUUUGCGCAUGUCAUUUAACAUGCGUGCGCAGCGCUUAAACUCAAAUGAGAGAAUCGUGUAUUGUUUUAUUAGAGAAUUUUGUUGUAUUUGAAUUUAUAAUCAAAUUAAAAAUAGUAUAUAGAACAUAACAUAUAUAUUCUUUGAAAAAUGUAUUUUUAUGAACAUAUUAUUCAACUUGUUUUGAGCAGCUGCCGUGCAAAUGAAUAAGUGCCUUAAAGUAAAUGUUGGAAUUAUUGGAAUGAUUAUAACUCUGAAGGCUGAAAUCUAAAGUUGAUAAUUACAUCUUUGAAGCAUCAUUUUCAAACAUUUUAAUGCGAAAUAACAAAAUCAUUUGCUUAAAUUUGUUAGCUAUUAUCUAUUAAGUUUAUGCAAAGAAGUUGUGAAGAUAUCAUUUUAAAGCAUAAGCAGAUAUAUUUACAAAUUAGAACUCGUAAUGGUCGAAUAUUAAGAUGAAGUCGUAAUAAAGGAAUCAAAAAAGAUCGAAUCAAGAGACAAGAUGGUUGUAAAAAGUAAUCACACUAGCUGUUGUUUAGUGAGCACAGAUGGCUGCUUCAUAUAUAACAAAUAGUAGAAGAGUUAAAAAGCAAGCUGAUAAAAAAAAUUUAUGUUGAAAGUUGUGAUCAGAAAAUUAAUUUGUAAUCCAGCAAUGUUUCUAAUGAUUGUUAAAGUAUUUGUUAUGAUGACAAUGUAUAUGAAAGUAAUAAUGACAAUGCAAGAGAAAAUUUUCCUGUUCGAGAUAUGAUCUUAAAAAAAUGUAGUGAUUUGUCUCCAUGUUUAUGCAGUAGUUAUGGCAUUGGCUAAAAGCACAUCAAACAAAAGAUGCAAGUUCUGAGCUUUUUAUCAAAUCGUAUAAUGCGUAGCGUUCGAACAUCAAUGUUCCUCUCAAGCAAAUUAAAGACUCAAGAUUCGUAUAGAAGCUAAGCAGUCGAAAAAAAUACUUUAAUUUUUUUAAUAUGUGUAUUAUUUGUACGAAUAUUUCAACGUUAUUACAAUGGUUAUUACAACAAGUUUAA
This is a long non-coding RNA of Hydra vulgaris (swiftwater hydra), 1086 nucleotides long. RefSeq lists it as uncharacterized. NCBI's taxonomy places the organism in Eukaryota, Metazoa, Cnidaria, Hydrozoa, Anthoathecata, Hydridae. The record is from RefSeq and is a predicted model, not a curated record.